RNAcentral lists this ribosomal RNA (538 nucleotides) under uncultured bacterium. Its description in RNAcentral is "bacterial SSU rRNA". It matches the Rfam family "Bacterial small subunit ribosomal RNA", at positions 777 to 1314 of the family's 1533-position model. The record is from RNAcentral.
AAUAGAUACCCCGGUAGUCCACGCCGUAAACGAUGAAUGCUAGGUGUUAGGGGUUUCGAUACCCUUGGUGCCGAAGUUAACACAUUAAGCAUUCCGCCUGGGGAGUACGGUCGCAAGACUGAAACUCAAAGGAAUUGACGGGGACCCGCACAAGCAGUGGAGUAUGUGGUUUAAUUCGAAGCAACGCGAAGAACCUUACCAGGUCUUGACAUCCCUCUGACCGGUGUAGAGAUACACCUUUCCUUCGGGACAGAGGAGACAGGUGGUGCAUGGUUGUCGUCAGCUCGUGUCGUGAGAUGUUGGGUUAAGUCCCGCAACGAGCGCAACCCUUGAUCUUAGUUGCCAGCACUUCGGGUGGGCACUCUAAGGUGACUGCCGGUGACAAACCGGAGGAAGGUGGGGAUGACGUCAAAUCAUCAUGCCCCUUAUGACCUGGGCUACACACGCACUACAAUGGCCGGUACAACGGGCUGCGAAGCCGCGAGGUGGAGCUAAUCCUAAAAAGCCGGUCUCAGUUCGGAUUGCAGGCUGCAACUCG